RNAcentral lists this long non-coding RNA (765 nucleotides) under Zea mays. Its description in RNAcentral is "drought-responsive long non-coding RNA". The record is from RNAcentral. Lineage: Eukaryota; Viridiplantae; Streptophyta; Magnoliopsida; Poales; Poaceae.
UGGAAACACCAACUGCUGUACAUGUCUAAAUUAUCCAUGCAAUGUUUUACAGGACUGUUAUUUACAUUGUAACACACAAUGGAUACUUCCGAGAGUAUCUGAUCGGCACAACCAAGUCAAAUGAAUCUUCAUGGUUGUUGGAGCGUGAAUUUAAUCUCCUGGAUGCUUAUUCGGGUAGUCCCAAGCAGAACGAGCUGCACAUAGACUGACUUGUAAUGCUCGCUCCUCUGACCGGAACCUGAGCAUCUCCAACAGAAGUUCUAUAUUUGAGUCCUUAAAAUUAAAAUAUGACCUGAUUUAAAGUGUUUAGGGCUAUAAAACUGUUUGUAACUCCAACAAUUGAGUUCUAUAUCAUAUUAUUAGGAAAUAAAUCAUGUUAUUUAGGAAAUAAAAGAUUAAAAAUAGUGUAGAAAAUGAAGAUAUGGCUCUAGUAGAUGGGGUACUAUAUUUAAGACCCGGGAGACUGAGCCCUAUAACUGUUUGAUGAGUUUUUAUAAAAUAGGACCCCUGUUGGAGUAUGUUGGAGUAUGUUUCUGGUGUUAGGGUCCUAUAUUUCAAAAUAGGAUCCUAUUUAGGACUCUUGUUGGAGAUGCUCUAUAGGUGAUUAUAUCUUGGGCCUUGACUUAACCGGUCAUUGGGACUAACUUCAACUGUACAUAGUAUAGAGGUGUUCAUCACUGGUGGGAAUCUACAUGUUGCGGCUCGUGGCGCGUGUAAAUUAUCAUACAAGUGGACAGCAAGUUUGGUGCAAUGCAUAAAAAGCUU